GCUUUCCCCAGCGAGGCAGUCAGUCAGUGCUCGGGGAUCGUGAGUGUGUCUGCCAUUGCUCGCAACCGCGACUUCGAUUUCCGCCCGAGAAGUUCUCAAAUCACACUCUGCUCGCCUUCUACUCCAAUUGGACCUUCUUCUCUCUCAAUUCCGUUAGGUUUUGACCCAUUUCGGAACCAAAUUGGAUCACUGGGCCUGGUAAUAGUGGUGGGUCUGAGCUAUGGGGGAAGAGUCGCCGCAGUACACGCUUCGAUGCCAACUCUUUGGACACGAGGAAGAUGUACGAGGUCUGAGCGUGUCCCACGAUGGAGUGAUUGCAACAGGCUCUCGAGAUAAAUCUGUUCGAGUUUGGAAUUCUAAUCAAGGCGAGAGGGAGUAUAUCUUGGACAAGACGCUAGUUGGGCAUACAAACUUCGUGGGUACUGUAGCCUGGAUUCCACCUAAUGAAUUUCUACCCGGUGGGGGGCUGGUGUCUGGAGGAAUGGACACUCGUGUUUUAGUCUGGGACCUUCAGCAAGCUUCUAUCGCGAAGGAUAUGAAAGGACAUAAACUACAAGUUAGCAAUGUAGCUGUUGAUCCCAAUGGUGAUAUCUUGUCUGCAUCUGUUGACAGCACAGUACGUAGGUGGCGAGAUGGGCAGGUAGUCGAGGUUUUGCAAGGCCAUGAUGGGCCUGUUCAAGCGGUGCUUCCAUUAUCCAACGGUGAAGUUGUGACUGGAUCGAGUGAUACAACCAUGAAGUUAUGGCGAGGUUCAACUUGUAUCAGCACAAUCCGUGGCCAUACAGAUACUGUGCGCGGCCUUGCAAUGAUGCCCAAUGUAGGAAUACUCUCUGCUUCUCAUGAUGGGUCAUUGAGGUUAUGGGCAUUGAGUGGAGAGCAGCUGUUGGAGUUUGUGGGGCACACUGCCAUUGUCUAUUCUGUAGCUGCACACUCUUCAGGCGAUAUUGCGUCUGGUAGUGAAGAUGGUUUUGCCAAAAUUUGGAGAGGAGGCGUUUGCGUCCAGAGCAUAGAGCACCCAGGCUGUGUUUGGGAUGUGGCCUUCCUGCCGAAUGGGGAUUUAGUGACGGCAUGCUCAGAUGGUGUGGCCCGUGUGUGGACUCGCGAGAGAAAGUUCUUUGCCCCAACUGAAGAGAUGGAAGCAUACCUUUCUCUCAUAUCAACUCGCAAAUCCGCAGCAAAGACAGUGGGUGGCGUGAAGGUCGAUGACUUGCCUGGCAUCGAAGCCCUGCAGGAACCUGGAACCAAAAAUGGUCAAACGCGGAUUGUAAGGGAGGGUUCUAGUGGCGUUGCUUACUCCUGGAAUCUGAACGAGUACAAAUGGGAAAAGAUUGGAGAAGUGGUAGAUGGGCCAGGAAACAGUGCUGAUACUAAGACCCUUCACGGUGUUACUUACGAUUAUGUCUUUGAUGUAGACAUUGGAGACGGCUUGCCAACGCGAAAGUUACCUUACAAUGUCGGGGACAAUCCCUACGAUGUUGCGGAUAAGUGGUUGGAUGAAGAAGGGCUGUCACCUGGCUACAGGCAGCAAGUUGUUGACUUCAUUCUCCAGAAUACAGGCGGUGCUGCUGCCUCAUCAAACUUUGACCCUAAUUUUGUCGACCCAUAUACCGGAGCCAAUGCGUAUGUACCUGGACAGCAAACCCGUCAACCCCAAGCUUCCAGACCUGCGCCUGUUUCCUCUACACGCAGCACACCAACUUACAAGCAUAUUCCGAUGAAGGGAAUGCUGUUCUUCGACACUGCUGCAUUCGAAGGCAUCAUCAAGAAGUUAACUGAGUUCAAUUCCACAUUGGCAGCACAUGAGGCGCAUAGAGAGUUAGCUCUAAAUCAAGCAGAUUCAAUGAGGAUACAGGCUAUGAUUGCUACUCUUAAAGAAACGUCUCUUUAUCAUGCCUCCUCCUUUGCUGAUGUUGACUUUAAACUACUUACAAGGAUGGUAUUACAAUGGCCUAUAGAAAACAUUUUUCCAGUUUUGGAUCUGAUGCGAAUGAUGCUUCUGCAUCCACAAUGUGCUAUUUUCUUUGCCAAUGCGACGACUGCUGGAAAUGAUAAUGCUGACAAUAAAGAGUUCAACAGAUGUUUUAUUGGAGGCUCUACGACGGGCCACUGGCGAGCCAGUGUUAGUGCCAAAUUUACUCACAAGCGCUCGUGUGGCCGUCAAUGCAUUCAAGCAUUCUGUUCUGAGAAAUUGGGUCGUCAAGAAUAGGAGUGAGAUUUUAGAUCUUUUUUCUGGAUGUUGCGCAUCUAUGAACAAGAAUGUUCGCCUGGCUUAUGCCACCUUGGUUAUCAAUUACUCCGCGUUGUUGUUGGAAACAAAUGAUGAGGAAGGACAGAUUCAAGUUCUGUCCGCUGCUGUAGAGAUGGCAGAUUCUCAGGAAGCAGAUGUUGAAGUGAGAUUUAGGGCCCUCGUUGCUCUAGGAACUCUGAUUCAUAGCAGUGGUGUAAAGAGUGUAGCUGUGGAUUUAGAUGCGAAGAGUUUAGCUGCAGCUGCGUGCAAAUCAUCUGUGCCUAAAAUUGCUGAAGUUGGCAGAGAUAUUGACAAUUUGCUGAAGUAGUAUGUGCAUCUUUUGUUUAUUUGUGUUACUAUUUUGUUCAAAUCUUUGACACUUAUUUCAGUGCGGUUGCACGAAGGCGGACAUCACCUUUUACAUGUGCCCUGGGACCCAAGGUUAUGCUCGAUGUGCUCCAAGAUUGAGUUCUCAUUUCGUGUAUCGGACCUUCAUAAGUUUCUGAAGAAUUCUGAAUUCAGGAAACGGUAGAUAGUUCCACUUUCUUGUAUAUUUAAGUUUUUGGAAUUGGAAACAUCCUACCAUAUUGGGAGAUAGAGAAUGUGACAGUCAAGUUUUCAGAAGAAUAUUGUAUCUAGAUGUCCUUACUCAGAUUAACCAAUUCGUACAAAUGGAUAGCAUGGGGUGUAACAGACAUUGCCUUCCAGAUUGAUUUAUGUGUUGACCUCUUGACUAUGUAGGUUGGGUUUUUUCA
Molecule: non-coding RNA, 2982 nt
Organism: Physcomitrium patens
Lineage: Eukaryota; Viridiplantae; Streptophyta; Bryopsida; Funariales; Funariaceae
Source: RefSeq, a predicted model, not a curated record